This 77-nucleotide transfer RNA is filed under the name Clostridioides difficile. Its description in RNAcentral is "tRNA-Pro(tgg)". It matches the Rfam family "tRNA". Rfam says of the family: Transfer RNA (tRNA) molecules are approximately 80 nucleotides in length. Their secondary structure includes four short double-helical elements and three loops (D, anti-codon, and T loops). Further hydrogen bonds mediate the characteristic L-shaped molecular structure. tRNAs have two regions of fundamental functional importance: the anti-codon, which is responsible for specific mRNA codon recognition, and the 3' end, to which the tRNAs corresponding amino acid is attached (by aminoacyl-tRNA synthetases). tRNAs cope with the degeneracy of the genetic code in two manners: having more than one tRNA (with a specific anti-codon) for a particular amino acid; and 'wobble' base-pairing, i.e. permitting non-standard base-pairing at the 3rd anti-codon position. Lineage: Bacteria; Bacillati; Bacillota; Clostridia; Peptostreptococcales; Peptostreptococcaceae. The record is from RNAcentral.
CGAGGUGUAGCGCAGUUUGGUAGCGCACAUGGUUUGGGACCAUGGGGCCGGGGGUUCGAGUCCCUUCAUCUCCGCCA